RNAcentral lists this ribosomal RNA (483 nucleotides) under uncultured bacterium. Its description in RNAcentral is "bacterial SSU rRNA". It matches the Rfam family "Bacterial small subunit ribosomal RNA", at positions 17 to 518 of the family's 1533-position model. The record is from RNAcentral.
UUAUGGCUCAGGACGAACGCUGGCGGCGUGCCUAACACAUGCAAGUCGAGCGAUGAAAUCCUUCGGGAUGGAUUAGCGGCGGACGGGUGAGUAACACGUGGGUAACCUGCCUUGUAGAGGGGGAUAGCCUUCCGAAAGGAAGAUUAAUACCGCAUAACAUCUUUUUAUCGCAUGGUAGAAAGAUCAAAAGGAGUAAUCCGCUACAAGAUGGACCCGCGGCGCAUUAGCUAGUUGGUGAGGUAACGGCUCACCAAGGCGACGAUGCGUAGCCGACCUGAGAGGGUGAUCGGCCACAUUGGAACUGAGACACGGUCCAGACUCCUACGGGAGGCAGCAGUGGGGAAUAUUGCGCAAUGGGGGAAACCCUGACGCAGCAACGCCGCGCGAAUGAAGAAGGCCUUAGGGUUGUAAAGUUCUGUUUACGGGGACGAUAAUGACGGUACCCGUGGAGGAAGCCACGGCUAACUACGUGCCAGCAGCAGC